UACGGGGGGAGCAAGCGUUGUUCGGAUUUACUGGGCGUAAAGGGCGCGUAGGCGGCCACCGCAAGUCGGUUGUGAAAUCUCUGGGCUUAACCCAGAAAGGUCAACCGAUACUGCGGGGCUAGAGUGCAGAAGGGGCAACUGGAAUUCUCGGUGUAGCGGUGAAAUGCGUAGAGAUCGGGAGGAACACCAGAGGCGAAGGCGGCGACCUGGACAGAUACUGACACUCAACUACGAAAGCGUGGGGAGCAAACAGG
Molecule: ribosomal RNA, 254 nt
Filed under: uncultured bacterium
Lineage: Bacteria
Description: partial 16S ribosomal RNA
Rfam family: Bacterial small subunit ribosomal RNA
Source: RNAcentral